Molecule: long non-coding RNA, 1005 nt
Filed under: Volvox carteri
Lineage: Eukaryota; Viridiplantae; Chlorophyta; Chlorophyceae; Chlamydomonadales; Volvocaceae
Description: long non-coding RNA (VCAR_LNC003316)
Source: RNAcentral
AUGUGCAAGCAAACAAGGGCCACUGCAGUAUUUUGAUUUUGUGUCAAAUUACUUCUUGCUGCAUAUAUUAUGUAUGGAGUCUCCUAUACAGGGUUUGGUGUAUUUAACUUCUGAUGGGCAUGUUUGUCUGUCUACAGGGCCCACCCAGCAACCUGCAUCUGCUGAGGACAACACCACAUGCUUUCCCCACCACACAUCAGCAUGCAGAGUCAGUGGAAGGUGAAAGCAGUAGUAAGGUGUGUGGCAUAAAACUGCAUUCUAAGUUCCACAUCAGCAGUCAUUGCAGUUCUUGAUGGUCUGACAAAGGUGCUACUGUAUGCCCCUGCCUGGUCUUUGCUGCAUACAGGCUCACAAGCUGCUUAUGGAGGACUGCUGCUGCUGCAAUGUCUUGUAGUGUUAACUAACAGUGAUAGAGGACUACUACUAGGCAUGACUACCAGAAGGUGUUAGGGUGGAUGAGCUGCAGCUGGGUGCACCCAGUAUGAAACUGUUUGGAGCUGUUUCGAAGCUUCUGCUGCAGCGGCUGCUGCAUACAGGCUCACAAGCCGCUUGUGGAGAAGCUACUGCUAGCAGCAGCAUUGUUGCACUGUACAGCCACUGUACAUACUUGUCUUGGAGUGUUAACUGACGGUGAUGGAGGGCUACUUCUGGGCAUAACUACCAGAAAGACUUGAGGUGGAUAGAGUGGUUGUGAGGUGUAUUGUAGCAUGUGUUGAGGCAAAUUGUUGACAGAUCUAUGAGCUGCAGCUGCAGCAGCCGCGGUUGUGGAAAUGUCUGGUGCUGUUUGGAAGCUGUAGCAGCUGAAGCUGAAGCAGGCAAUGCAUAUGGCUUAAUGUUGUUACAUAGCAGGACUUGGGAAUUUCGUAUGCAUGUAGCUGCUGCUAGGCGACAUGUAUAUGUAAAAUUAUGAAUCCAUGCAUACAUGGUCUAUCCCUACCCCUAUGGCAGCCAAACUGCGUGUUACGGCCCCCCCCUAGCAACUGGACUAGUUACUCCUGAGACGGG